This 443-nucleotide ribosomal RNA is filed under the name uncultured bacterium. RNAcentral describes it as "partial 16S ribosomal RNA". It matches the Rfam family "Bacterial small subunit ribosomal RNA", at positions 338 to 795 of the family's 1533-position model. The record is from RNAcentral.
CCUACGUGUGGCAGCAGUGGGGAAUAUUGGGCAAUGGGCGCAAGCCUGACCCAGCAACGCCGCGUGAAGGAAGAAGGCCCUCGGGUUGUAAACUUCUUUUAACAGGGACGAAGAAAGUGACGGUCCCUGUUGAUUACGCCACGGCUAACUACGUGCCAGCAGCCGCGGUAUUACGUAGGUGGCAAGCGUUAUCCGGAUUUACUGGGUGUAAGGGGCGUGUAGGCGGGAGAGCAAGUCAGACGUGAAAUUCCAGGGCUCAACCCUGGAACUGCGUUUGAAACUGUUCUUCUUGAGUGAUGGAGAGGCAGGCGGAAUUCCGUGUGUAGCGGUGAAAUGCGUAGAUAUACGGAGGAACACCAGUGGCGAAGGCGGCCUGCUGGACAUUAACUGACGCUGAGGCGCGAAAGCGUGGGGAGCAAACAGGAUUAGAUACCCGUGUAGUC